This 520-nucleotide ribosomal RNA is filed under the name uncultured Glomus. RNAcentral's name for it is "SSU rRNA". It matches the Rfam family "Eukaryotic small subunit ribosomal RNA", at positions 569 to 1092 of the family's 1831-position model. Lineage: Eukaryota; Fungi; Glomeromycota; Glomeromycetes; Glomerales; Glomeraceae. The record is from RNAcentral.
AGCAGCCGCGGUAAUUCCAGCUCCAAUAGCGUAUAUUAAAGUUGUUGCAGUUAAAAAGCUCGUAGUUGAAUUUCGGAAUCAAUAGAUUGGUCGUGCCUUGGUACGUACUGAUAUUAUUGGUUUCUACCUUCUGAAGAACCUCGAUGUCAUUAAUUUGGUGUCUUGGGGAAUCAGGACUGUUACUUUGAAAAAUUAGAGUGUUUAAAGCAGGCUCGCGCUUGAAUACAUUAGCAUGGAAUAAUGAAAUAGGACGUUUGAUUCUAUUUUGUUGGUUUCUAGGAUCGACGUAAUGAUUAAUAGGGAUAGUUGGGGGCAUUAGUAUUCAAUUGUCAGAGGUGAAAUUCUUGGAUUUAUUGAAGACUAACUACUGCGAAAGCAUUUGCCAAGGAUGUUUUCAUUAAUCAAGAACGAAAGUUAGGGGAUCGAAGACGAUCAGAUACCGUCGUAGUCUUAACCAUAAACUAUGCCGACUAGGGAUCGGAUGAUGUUAAUUUUUAAUGUACUCAUUCGGCGCCUUACG